GGGUAGGUAAUGCGAAGUGGUCAACCGCUGCAGACUGUAAAUCUGCUGCCUUUAUGGCUUCGGGGGUUCGAAUCCCUCCCUGCCCA
RNAcentral lists this transfer RNA (86 nucleotides) under bacterium (Candidatus Torokbacteria) CG_4_10_14_0_2_um_filter_35_8. Its description in RNAcentral is "tRNA-Tyr". It matches the Rfam family "tRNA". Rfam says of the family: Transfer RNA (tRNA) molecules are approximately 80 nucleotides in length. The record is from RNAcentral.